Molecule: ribosomal RNA, 1049 nt
Filed under: Babina adenopleura (olive frog)
Lineage: Eukaryota; Metazoa; Chordata; Amphibia; Anura; Ranidae
Description: partial 16S ribosomal RNA
Rfam family: Bacterial large subunit ribosomal RNA
Source: RNAcentral
UAGUGAUAGCUGGUUGUUCAGGAAAAGAGUUUUAGCUCUACCUUAGCUUCUCAAUUACACCAAAAACCCUCAAACUUAAGAGCCAUUCAAAUAAGGCACAGCUUAUUUGAAAUAGGGCACAACCUCUAAUACCGGGUAAAUUAGGGUAACUUAAACAAAGUAGGCCUAAGAGCAGCCACCUUUAAAAAAGCGUUAAAGCUUAUUUAUACACCCACAAUUCCUAAAUCCCCAUUAACCCUUCAUCACUACUGAACUAUUUUAUAUCUUUAUAAAAGCUAUAAUGCUAGAACUAGUAACAAGAAAUAGCCCUUCUCCAAAAUGUAAGCUUAUACCAAAAUGGACAAUCCAUUGGUAAUCAACGCAAAUGUUAUAGCCACAGCAACACACCUCUAGAAAACCCUGUGACCCCAUACGUUACCCUUACACUAGAACAUCCCAGGAAAGAUUAAAAGAGAAAGAAGGAACUCGGCAAAUCUCAGCCCCGCCUGUUUACCAAAAACAUCGCCUCUUGACAAGUAUAAGAGGUCCAGCCUGCCCAGUGACAAAAUUCAACGGCCGCGGUACCCUAACCGUGCGAAGGUAGCAUAAUCACUUGUUCUCUAAAUAGGGACUAGUAUCAACGGCAUCACGAGGGCUGAACUGUCUCCUUUCUCCAAUCAGUGAAACUGAUCUCCCCGUGAAGAAGCGGGGAUUAUUAUAUAAGACGAGAAGACCCCAUGGAGCUUUAAACUCAUCACUCACUUCCUCACCUCCCCGACCAUAUAAGGAAUCUGUGUGAUAGUUUUGGGUUGGGGGGACCACGGAGUACAAUUUAACCUCCAUGACAAAUGGGCUAACGCCCUUAUCUACGAACUACAACUCUAAGAAUCAUAAACUGAUGUUUAAUGACCCGACAAUUCGAUCAACGAACCAAGUUACCCUGGGGAUAACAGCGCAAUCUACUUUAAGAGCCCCUAUCGACAAGUAGGUUUACGACCUCGAUGUUGGAUCAGGGUAUCCUAGGGGUGCAGCCGCUCCUAACGGUUCGUUUGUUCAACGAUUAAAACCCU